Molecule: ribosomal RNA, 252 nt
Filed under: uncultured bacterium
Lineage: Bacteria
Description: partial 16S ribosomal RNA
Rfam family: Archaeal small subunit ribosomal RNA
Source: RNAcentral
ACCGGCAGCUCGAGUGGUCGUCACUUUUAUUGGGCCUAAAACGUCCGUAGCCGGUUUGGUAAAUCUGUGGGUAAAUCAACUAGCUUAACUAGUUGAAUUCUGCAGAGACUGCCAGACUAGGAACCGGGAGAGGUGUGGGGUACUCAAGGGGUAGGGGUAAAAUCCUGUCAUCCUUUGAGGACCACCAGUUGCGAAGGCGCCACACUAGAACGGAUUCGACGGUCAGGGACGAAGCCUAGGGGCACGAACCGG